UCCCUCUUAGCUCAGUGGGUAGAGAAUCUGCCUGCAAUGCAGGAGACCCUGGUUUGAUUCCUGGGUGGGGAA
Molecule: transfer RNA, 72 nt
Filed under: Ovis aries (sheep)
Lineage: Eukaryota; Metazoa; Chordata; Mammalia; Artiodactyla; Bovidae
Rfam family: tRNA
About the family: Transfer RNA (tRNA) molecules are approximately 80 nucleotides in length. Their secondary structure includes four short double-helical elements and three loops (D, anti-codon, and T loops).
Source: Rfam by way of RNAcentral